This 4743-nucleotide long non-coding RNA is filed under the name Sus scrofa (pig). RNAcentral describes it as "lncRNA (ENSSSCG00000052073.1)". Lineage: Eukaryota; Metazoa; Chordata; Mammalia; Artiodactyla; Suidae. The record is from RNAcentral.
GAAUAUAAGCUCCAUGAGGUCAGAGCUUGUGUCUGUUUUGUUCACUGCUGAAUCUCCAGCCUCCAGAACAAAGCUUAUCACAUAAUAGGCACUUGAUAUACAUUGGCUAAAUCAAUAAAUUACUAGGAAGUCAAAUUUUUUGCCCAAUUGGAUUUUGAGAGCCAGCCAGAUCUUUUUUAUGUAAACUAAAGAGAGUUUAUAAAGCAAAGUAUCAGAACCAACUGGUGGGUUGAACUCUACCCCCCAAAUUUGGAUUCUGUGGAUCUGGCAUGAGACCUGAGGAUCUGCAGUUUCCAAUAAGUUCCUAGACCAUUCUAAUGCUGGAGGCAGAGGAAACACUUUAAAAAACACUGCUUUUUCAGAAACUGAAACUCAAUAGCAUCAUGAAAUGCUGGGGAUGGAUAUGAAUUAUGAGCAUCUGGCCUUAGCUCAUGACUUAGUACAUCUGCUAUAUUGUAAUUAACCUGCAAGAGCAAAUGUGGUAGAGUACUGGAUUGGUAGGGCAGUAAGUAAUUUCCUUGAUGCUCUCCCAACAAAUUAAGGAGAGUGCUGAGUCCCCACAGGCUGUCAUUUCAUUCAGGUAUGUUCAACAUGGACCUUCUUCAUAGCAGUAGACUCGCAUAAAGCAAGCCCUGACCCUCCCCAGAGUGUCUUUGUUAACAUGAUGAAUGAAUGGAAAUUUUCCCAUUGGAAGGCUGUUAGAAUCUUUCUAAAAGAUUCUCUAAUGCAGCAUUAAAAAAAAAAAAAAGCAUUUUAGUUAUUGAGACAGUAAGAUUUAGCCCUUCUGCAGUGUCUUUCAUCCUGACAAUUCUUCGCAAAUAUUAACUAAUGCCUCAGGCAAUCCUUGGAGGCAAGUUAUACUGUCUGAAUUUUGUUUUUUAAAGAUUAGAGAUGAGGUUUAGCUUCUGUCUCAUGUUUUUGUGGCCUGGCCUCUCUCUUUUUUGGUCUGUUUAUUCACUGGGAGGGAGAUGGGAUUCAGGCCUUAAAAGUCAGAUUCUCCCACUGCUUAGUAAUCUCUUGAGAUAGGUUAUUUCCUGCCUUAAUUAUUUCCAACAGUCCUAUUUUUGUGUGUGUGUGCAAUGAUUAGUUACUAAGGCAAGGAUCUUAAGGACUCUGACAUUUUUUAUUAUGCAGUAGGGGUGAACUUACAGGAAAACAAGUCUUGGUUUUAGAGCCAUUCUUUUCUGUUAAAAAAAGAAUAACCAAAGAGAUAUAUGCAAAACUGACAGCAAAAUAACCACAACUCUUUUGACCUAGAAAUGUUUUCAAUAAUGUGCUUACUGAAUUUAGUAAGUACAUGGUUAAAUUAGUUUAUAACUUCUAAGUGUAUUCUUACAUUUUGAUAGGGUAGGAAAUCCAUUACCAGAGAGAAUAUCUUUUAUUGGAUAAAAGAGCACAAAACCAGAGUCCAGAGAAUCACAAAGAAUAUUUCCUUGAUUCUCCACUUUACUAAAUCCACCUUUAACAGUAAAGAUAGGGUAGCUCCUCUUUCUAGUCUUUCUUCUUUUUCCUUCAUUUGUAUAUUUGUGGAGUGCCUAGUAUAGGCUAGGUAAUUGUCUAGUUGCUGGGAUUAAGGCAGUGUACAAAACAAAUGUUCUGGCCUCAUGGAUUUGGAUUAUAGUAGAGGGGAAUCGUUACACAAAACUGUAGGUGUGUAUCCAAAUGAGGAGGGGAUAAACGCUGUGUAAACAUUAAGACAGAGCUCUCAGAUAAGAUGCUACUUGCCGCAGGGAGGAAGUGUGGUAGUGAAAAACUGGAUAUUUGAGGGAAGAGCAUUCUAGCAAGAGGAAAAUUAGGGGUCAGGAAAUGAGGGAGAAGAAGAGCUAACAUUCAAGAGCAACAGGGGGGUGAUGGACAGUAGUGUGAGUCAGGUGUGAAGAGGUACUGGAUAAAAUGAGAGGCGAGGGAGUCUAUAGAGAUACAGGUCGAGCCUCUUCUUUUUAAAUUUCCCACAAAGUAGUUGGAGGGUUACCAUAGGUAGGAGACCUAAUGAAUAUGUCUUUGACUUUUACAAGGUAUUGUCCAGAAGUGGGUAGAAGAACUAAGAUAUGUUAACUUUUUCCUGGAAUAAUUACAGAUUGAAAAUACAGAUAGUUUCAAAAUUAUGUUAUAUGUUUAAAAUUUAUUUUAUAUCAUAGAAUUAGAAAUUUAAGACCUCAAGCUUAACUUCUUACUAUCAAAAAGCCUAGGUUGCAUCUGUAAGGAUUAUGCCCCUUAAAGGGAAUCACAAUGAGAAUUUGUGUAUAGAAUUCGGCCCUCUCUGUGCCUUUCCAUCAUAUCCUCCCACUACACCCAUUCUGUAUGCACUAAGAUUGAGUUUGAACUUAUAUUACUACCUAUAAACAAUGAUAUAGGAAUUUUGUUGUAGAUUAAAUCCUUUGUUAGCAGUACAUUUUAAAAGGAACUAAUAUGUUUUUGACCAUUAUGAUUAGAGUAAUCACCCCAUUGGAAUGCAUGUACAGUAGAGACAAAGGGAAUUAAAACUAUGAAGGCUGAUUAUGCCAUUUCAUUUUAUGAAUAUUUAAUGUUAUACUCCAGAAGCACCAUAGUAUGAAAAUACGCUAGGGUUUCCUUUAUGACUUUUGCAGAUUUAAGCUGGACUUAACAUGUUGACUUGCAAUAAAUAGUGACAUAAAUCAGGAAAAUAGCCAGUCUAAUUUUGAUUGGCAGAAUUAAUGUCUUUAAAUCUAUUUUUCAUAGUUCUCUGCUUCUUAUGUCUUCCAAUGUGGUUUCCCUACAUAAAAUGAGGAAACAUCAUUGAAUUUUAUUUAUGAGUAAUUUAUUUUGUAUUGGUUUUUCAUUAUAUUCUCACAGGGUGUCUUGAGGUUUGAGGUUAUUUUUAUUAUGCAUUUGAUAUUCAUGUGGUAUACUUGUAAGUGUAGAACUCUGAAUGGGUUCGGCUGUACAGAAGAAGAUCAGACUUGCCUAAAACAAUGAUAUGUACUUUGCUCAUGGUAUGAGGCAGUGGAACCCUCCCUGGAAAGAUGAUUUGAAGGUUUUCUUUUCCAGUAGAAAUGAUCAGCUGUCUUAUUCCAUCCAUCCAUUCAUUCAACCACCCAUCCAUCUAUCCAUCUAUCCAUCCAUCUUCUCUGACAUUAUUCCCCUCAAAACCAAGACAAGUCCACAUUCCUCAGCAGAGCAUUCAAAGUCUUUUAAAUCUGAGCCCAGCCAUCCUCCCAGUUUUCAAUUCUUCUGGCUUAUUCUUAUUUGUCCAACCUUCCAACUGCAUAAGAAGCAAAGUUCCAGGUUGUGGGCUCCUCCCUUCAGAGGCUUUUCAUUUUAAGUCUGUCUUUUCUCUUGCUCCAUUGGUAUAAAAUCGCCACCUACACACACACACAAAUACAUUUUCACACAGGGGCACACGCACACCUUCCAAUAUUUAGGAAAAUCCUGCUCAUUGUACAAGGCCUGAUUCAAAGGUUGCUCCUCAGAGCAACAUUCUUGCCUGACUUAAGAGAAUAAACUUCUUUCCUUUUCAUACUGUUAUGUUACUUAAUACAGUCUUAUUUGGAUUUUAGUCUUUAUGCCUUUGCCCAUCAAAUAUGAAAACUGACACCAGGGGUUGGAUCACAUUCAUCUUUUUGCCUAGCAGUUCCCCUAUUCUUUUCAUAUAACAAUUUUCAGUUGAAUGUUUAUUGAAAUAAAAUAAAAAUAAAAAUAAUGAUUCUUCUCUCCUUGUAUUUAGAAGAUAUUGUAUCUAUUGCUUUAAAAAAAAAAACUAACAACAAUGAUAACCAAUACAUUUUGACAUAGUUAUUCACAUCAUAGAAAUUUACAUUUCUAUGUAUAUUUACAGAAAUUCAACUCUAUAGAUCAAGAUCAGUUUUUGGAAAUCAGAAGCAAGCAAAUAGAGAAGGAGGAAGAGAGAGAGAGAAGAUAACAACUUUCAUAGUGUGGGGAAAAUUUCACUAGUGCCACCAUUAAGCACAGUCCCGGGGAAAGCAGGAGAAAAGAGAUAGAGUCAGUUUCACCUCCAGUUCCUGUGAUGCCUCAUGGAGUGUGAGCCUCUUGCUGUGUUGAAUAGGAUUCUAGGGUGUAAAGGUAUGCAUUUUUCAUGUAACAUGGUCUCUGAGGAGCCAACCACUUUAUUUGGUACAGUCAUCUAUCCUAGAUCUGGACAUGGCAUGUCCCUACCACCAUCAAGCCUUUCUAACAGGAUUUAGGAGUAAUUUUAACUUUACAUAAUUUUGCUUCAUAUCCUGACUUUUGAACUCUACUGCCACACGAGAUAGUCAACUCCACAGUAAUCUGACAGCACUAUGGUACAAAGAACAGGUCAUAUUUCUGAUAGGGUAACUAAAUUUAUGUUUUCAAAAGGUAAUAGAAGAAGUAGAUGAUUUUAAGUAGAGCCACAAAGAUAGUUAAUACAUAUAAAAGAUGAAUAUCUAAGAAGGAUUUAAUCAUUAUAAUUAUUCCUUCUGUUGUGGCAAUGAAGGUUAGAUGGAUGUCUCAAUAAAGGUCUUUAAACAGAUUUUGAUUUCUUUUACAGAAAAUGAUGACCAGGAGUUCCUGUCGUGGUGCAGUGGUUAACGAAUCCGACUGGGAAUCAUGAGGUUGCGGGUUCGAUCCCUGGCCUCCCUCAGUGGGUUAAGGAUCCGGCGUUGCCGUGAGCUGUGGUGUAGGUUGCAGACGCGGCUUGGAUCCCGCGUUGCUGUGGCUCUGGCGUAGGCCGGUGGCUACAGCUCAGAUGGGACCCCUAGCCUGGGAACCUCCAUAUGCCGUGGGAGCGGCCUAAGAAAUAGC